Molecule: ribosomal RNA, 505 nt
Filed under: Purpureocillium lilacinum
Lineage: Eukaryota; Fungi; Ascomycota; Sordariomycetes; Hypocreales; Ophiocordycipitaceae
Description: SSU rRNA
Rfam family: Eukaryotic small subunit ribosomal RNA
Source: RNAcentral
CAAGUAAACUCUGGGCUCUCUGGUGAUUCAUGAUAACUUCUCGAAUCGCAUGGCCUUGCGCCGGCGAUGGUUCAUUCAAAUUUCUUCCCUAUCAACUUUCGAUGUUUGGGUAGUGGCCAAACAUGGUUGCAACGGGUAACGGAGGGUUAGGGCUCGACCCCGGAGAAGGAGCCUGAGAAACGGCUACUACAUCCAAGGAAGGCAGCAGGCGCGCAAAUUACCCAAUCCCGACACGGGGAGGUAGUGACAAUAAAUACUGAUACAGGGCUCUUUUGGGUCUUGUAAUUGGAAUGAGUACAAUUUAAAUCCCUUAACGAGGAACAAUUGGAGGGCAAGUCUGGUGCCAGCAGCCGCGGUAAUUCCAGCUCCAAUAGCGUAUAUUAAAGUUGUUGUGGUUAAAAAGCUCGUAGUUGAACCUUGGGCCUGGCUGGCCGGUCCGCCUCACCGCGUGCACUGGUCCGGCCGGGCCUUCCCUCUGUGAAGCUUACCCAGGCCGUUAACUCUA